CUCGACCCCAGGUCAGGCAUAUCAAUAAGCGGAGGAAA
This 38-nucleotide ribosomal RNA is filed under the name Alnus nitida. RNAcentral describes it as "partial 25S ribosomal RNA". The record is from RNAcentral. Lineage: Eukaryota; Viridiplantae; Streptophyta; Magnoliopsida; Fagales; Betulaceae.